GACGAACGCUGGCGGCGUGCUUAACACAUGCAAGUCGAGCGGUAAGGCCCUUUCGGGGGUACACGAGCGGCGAACGGGUGAGUAACACGUGGGUGACCUGCCCUCAGCUCUGGGAUAAGCCUGGGAAACCGGGUCUAAUACUGGAUAUGACUCCAUGACGCAUGUUGUGGGGUGGAAAGCCUUGUGCGGCUGAGGAUGGGCCCGCGGCCUAUCAGCCUGUUGGUGGGGUGANGGCCUACCAAGGCGACGACGGGUAGCCGGCCUGAGAGGGCGACCGGCCACACUGGGACUGAGACACGGCCCAGACUCCUACGGGAGGCAGCAGUGGGGAAUCUUGCGCAAUGGGCGAAAGCCUGACGCAGCGACGCCGCGUGAGGGAUGACGGCCUGGUU
RNAcentral lists this ribosomal RNA (392 nucleotides) under uncultured bacterium. RNAcentral describes it as "bacterial SSU rRNA". It matches the Rfam family "Bacterial small subunit ribosomal RNA", at positions 28 to 424 of the family's 1533-position model. The record is from RNAcentral.